Molecule: long non-coding RNA, 2101 nt
Organism: Scatophagus argus
Lineage: Eukaryota; Metazoa; Chordata; Actinopteri; Scatophagidae
Exons: 3
Source: RefSeq, a predicted model, not a curated record
GUCCUGAUUCGCUUGGUCCGCCUGCGGGCCCGCCCUCUCACCACCCUGUCAUCCAGUCGUGGCUCGGGACUGCUGACGGACUCCUCCCCUUCACCUGAGACCUGAUUUUGAGCUGCUUUUCACACACACACACACACAGAGGAGAUUUUUGUUAGCAAGUUCAUGGUCAGAACACGCCUUCAUAUUUCCAAACAAGAUAAGCCCGCUUUUCCUUCAAACACACACACACAGCUGUCACCUUCUCUCAGAUUUGCGUUGGGCUGCAGAUCAUGUGACAACAGGAUGCUCCCGUCGCCGUGGUAAUGUGACUGACAGUACAGGCUCUGGCCCUCCAUGCAGUACAGGUUCCCUGGUAUCAGUUUCACAUCACACUCCUGCAAAACGUACUUGUUAUCAUGAACGAUAAGACAGAAAAACACAAAUGCAGUCUGGCCUCUGCCACCCUGGCUUAACUCCUGGUUCAUCCAAACAAAUAUGAGUUAUACAAAAGCUAACCUCUGUACAGUUUAUGGCGACUGACUCGCCUUUGGAGCCAGCCUCAAGUGGCCAUCUGAGGAAGUGCAGUUUUUAGCUCUUGGUGUCACUUUUCAGCCCCCGAGGCUGAUGCUCGGACAAAAUUUAAUUAAUCAAGAGGGAAAUUAUUGUGCAGCAGUUUGCUUCAUAAAGUAGGAAAGAGUGUAAAUACACCAAUAAACACACACAGUACACAUGCUAUUGCACAUUAUGUCAGAACAUUAUAAAGACUUUGAUCCUAAUUAUUUAUUUAUCUAUUUUUUAACAAAAUGUUCACCUGGCAGGAGAAGCAGUGAGGAUGGAAGGUCAGCUCACCAGACCUCAUGACCAAAGCAGAAGCUGGGAUUGGCUGGAAGCAGCGAGCGCACUGACCGCCUCCAAACAGCCUGAGCAGGCAGAGAAAUCAGAAAGUCAGAAGCCAGGAGCACAAAGGUGUGAAAGGUGUGAGCUACAGGAACAGUCUGACAUGUUGGGGAGCAGAGGGAUCACCGGGACCUGCAGUAGUCUUGUUGGCAGUAGAUGUUCCCGUCUCUCCAGUAAAGUGAGGGGUGUGUCUGCAGCUCGCACUGACACUGGCUGCAGCGGAGGCAGGUGUUGUGCCACACCCUGCCCGCAGCCAACAGGAAGAAGCGGUCGCACACCUGCUCACCGCAGCCAGCACACAUCAUUGGCUCCUGGAUGGACACGGCUGUCGGAGUCUGAGACUGAUUGACAGAUUUAUUUCACAGAAACAACACUGAAGUGAAACAUCAAACAAAGGAUUUAUCUGAAGAAAGUGAAACAUCUCUCUUUACUAUGCAACACUGUCGCGGCCUCUGUCAGGGGUCAGAGGUCUCUACUGAGAGCCGACACACCCAGCAGAUUCACUUCUACUUUCAGUCAAUGGAUUUUUAGUUGUAGUGGAGUGUUUUCGGUGUGGCAUUAGUACUUUUACUUAAAUAAAUCUAAUACUUCCACCACUGUCAUGCUCACAUUGUCUGCAGCAGUGCUGUCAUCCAGCCCCGCCGGGCCGCCGCCCAGCUCCGCCCCCUCGGCUGCGUCACCAAGGUCACCGGUGUACAACAGGUCCUCGAGGGCUCGGUCGUCGGGCGACAUCAUGAUUGUCCUGAGAAGGAGGAAGACGAGGAGAUGGACAACAACUUACCGUCUUGUUGAGAGACGCCUGACUGGUUUUCAGCUUAGCGUGCUCUGUGAGAACCCUUCAGACAACGCCACCCUUUAAGAAGAACAAGAAGAAGAAAAUAAACUUUCCUUUGCUUUGUGUCUCUCUGUUUGGAGCUCUCACCUGUCCAGGUGUCUCUGCAGCCUCCUGUCUUGUGGUUUUGGGAUCAGUUUCCCCCCUCUGUGUCAGCUGACCUGAGAUCUGCUUCCACCUUCAUCCUCCACCAAUCACAGUCACAGCAUCUAGACUGAGGCUCAGCACCUGUCCCUCCCGCCUCGCCGUCUGUCCCAGGGGGCGACAUAAACAGGAAAAUAAAUCACUGUGACAUUCACAGAAAGACGGCACAGAAGGACAAACGCUGAGAGGACAGUCGGCAGCUGAACCACAACGAGUACGAACUCUCCAUCACUCACCUGCUCCUGUCCA